This 168-nucleotide ribosomal RNA is filed under the name Malacocephalus nipponensis. Its description in RNAcentral is "partial 12S rRNA". The record is from RNAcentral. Lineage: Eukaryota; Metazoa; Chordata; Actinopteri; Gadiformes; Macrouridae.
CACCGCGGUUAAACGGGGGGCCCAAGUUGAUAACAACGGCGUAAAGCGUAGUUAGGACAAAAAUACAGAUAGGGCCGAUUACUCUCAGAGUAGUGAAAUACAUCCGAGACCAACAAGCACACCCACGAAAGUAGCCCUAAUUUCUCUGACCCUACGAAAGCUAUAGCA